This 468-nucleotide ribosomal RNA is filed under the name uncultured bacterium. RNAcentral's name for it is "bacterial SSU rRNA". It matches the Rfam family "Bacterial small subunit ribosomal RNA", at positions 30 to 507 of the family's 1533-position model. The record is from RNAcentral.
AUUGAACGCUGGCGGCAUGCUUAACACAUGCAAGUCAAGGGGAUAGCAAUAUCACCGGCGGACGGGUGCGUAACGCGUACACAACGUGCCCAAGGGCGGAGGAAAGCGGCGGGAAACUGCCGGUAAUACUCCAUGGUGUUGUUGAGUGGCAUCACUUAACAACUAAAGUACAAGCGCCCUUGGAUCGGUGUGCGUUCGAUUAGCUAGUUGGCGGGGUAACGGCCCACCAAGGCUUCGAUCGAUAGGGGGUGUGAGAGCGUGGCCCCCCACACGGGUACUGAGACACGGACCCGACUCCUACGGGAGGCAGCAGUAAGGAAUAUUGGUCAAUGGACGGAAGUCUGAACCAGCCAUCCCGCGUGCAGGAUGACUGCCCUAUGGGUUGUAAACUGCUUUUAGCAGAGACGAAACGCCUUCAUUUAUGGGGGUCUGACGGUAUCUGCAGAAUAAGCACCGGCUAACUCCGUG